CCUACGGGAGGCAGCAGUGGGGAAUAUUGCACAAUGGGGGAAACCCUGAUGCAGCGACGCCGCGUGAGUGAAGAAGUAUUUCGGUAUGUAAAGCUCUAUCAGCAGGGAAGAAAAUGACGGGACCUGAUUAAGAAGCACCGGCUAACUACGUGCCAGCAGCCGCGGGAAUACGUAGGGGGCAAGCGUUAUCCGGAUUUACUGGGUGUAAAGGGAGCGUAGACGGCAGCACAAGUCUGGAGUGAAAUGCCGGGGCUUAACCCCGGAACUGCUUUGGAGACUGUGCAGCUAGAGUGCAGGAGAGGUAAGUGGAAGUCCUAGUGUAGCGGUGAAAUGCGUAGAUAUUAGGAGGAACACCAGUGGCGAAGGCGGCUUACUGGACUGUAACUGACGUUGAGGCUCGAAAGCGUGGGGAGCAAACAGGAUUAGAUACCCCUGUAGUC
This 440-nucleotide ribosomal RNA is filed under the name uncultured bacterium. RNAcentral describes it as "partial 16S ribosomal RNA". It matches the Rfam family "Bacterial small subunit ribosomal RNA", at positions 338 to 795 of the family's 1533-position model. The record is from RNAcentral.